GACGAACGCUGGCGGCGUGCUUAACACAUGCAAGUCGAACGGAAAGGCCCUGCUUGCAGGGUACUCGAGUGGCGAACGGGUGAGUAACACGUGGGUGAUCUGCCCUGCACUUCGGGAUAAGCCUGGGAAACUGGGUCUAAUACCGGAUAGGAGCCAUUUUUAGUGUGAUGGUUGGAUAGUUUUUUCGGUGUAUGAUGAGCUCGCGGCCUAUCAGCUUGUUGGUGGGGUAAUGGCCUACCAAGGCGGCGACGGGUAGCCGGCCUGAGAGGGUGGACGGCCACAUUGGGACUGAGAGACGGCCCAGACUCCUACGGGAGGCAGCAGUGGGGAAUAUUGCACAAUGGGCGCAAGCCUGAUGCAGCGACGCCGCGUGGGGGAUGACGGCCUUCGGGUUGUAAACUCCUUUCGCUAGGGACGAAGCUUUUUGUGACGGUACCUAGAUAAGAAGCACCGGCUAACUACGUG
Molecule: ribosomal RNA, 465 nt
Filed under: uncultured bacterium
Lineage: Bacteria
Description: partial 16S ribosomal RNA
Rfam family: Bacterial small subunit ribosomal RNA
Source: RNAcentral